This 461-nucleotide long non-coding RNA is filed under the name Cricetulus griseus (Chinese hamster). RNAcentral's name for it is "lncRNA (ENSCGRG00000024256.1)". Lineage: Eukaryota; Metazoa; Chordata; Mammalia; Rodentia; Cricetidae. The record is from RNAcentral.
AUGUACUCAUAUUACAUAUUCAUAUUCAUUAUAUAUUCAUAAUGAGACAGCAGCUCACCAGUAUGGCUUGGAAUUCACUGUGCAGCUCCAGCUGACCUCCAAUAUCCUGCCUCAGCCUCCUCUGUACCUGUAUCCCAAAUACAUGAUGCCUGAGAAAUUGUUCAUAUCAAUGCGAGGAAUUCUGGAGGCCAUGAAGCAGCUGUGCUACAGGGAAAACAACCUCAACUUUUCCCUUAGAAAUUGAGUUCUGCUGUGUCAACGUGACUAUGUCUGCCCUGGACUACUUGUAAUGAUGGAAUUCCUAGAAUCAACACUGCGGAUGAUGAAAGGUAACCUGAACUGAAUUUCCUCAACUUGAAUGAAGUUGAAGGAUCACUGCAUAACUAUUCCAAGUAGAAGAUGCAUUUCAGUUGUUGCUAGGGGUUACUGUGCCCCAUCCAUGAAUAAAAUGAGUUGAGAGC